Molecule: transfer RNA, 73 nt
Filed under: Brachybacterium phenoliresistens
Lineage: Bacteria; Bacillati; Actinomycetota; Actinomycetes; Micrococcales; Dermabacteraceae
Rfam family: tRNA
About the family: Transfer RNA (tRNA) molecules are approximately 80 nucleotides in length.
Source: Rfam by way of RNAcentral
GGGUCGUUAGCUCAGCUGGUAGAGCAUCACGUUUACACCGUGCCGGUCGGGGGUUCGAGUCCCUCACGACCCA